This 467-nucleotide ribosomal RNA is filed under the name uncultured bacterium. RNAcentral's name for it is "partial 16S ribosomal RNA". It matches the Rfam family "Bacterial small subunit ribosomal RNA", at positions 28 to 506 of the family's 1533-position model. The record is from RNAcentral.
GACGAACGCUGGCGGCGUGCUUAACACAUGCAAGUCGAACGGAAAGGCCCUGCUUUUGUGGGGUGCUCGAGUGGCGAACGGGUGAGUAACACGUGAGUAACCUGCCCUUGACUUUGGGAUAACUUCAGGAAACUGGGGCUAAUACCGGAUAGGAGCUCCUGCUGCAUGGUGGGGGUUGGAAAGUUUCGGCGGUUGGGGAUGGACUCGCGGCUUAUCAGCUUGUUGGUGGGGUAGUGGCUUACCAAGGCUUCGACGGGUAGCCGGCCUGAGAGGGUGACCGGCCACAUUGGGACUGAGAUACGGCCCAGACUCCUACGGGAGGCAGCAGUGGGGAAUAUGGCACAAUGGGCGGAAGCCUGAUGCAGCAACGCCGCGUGCGGGAUGACGGCCUUCGGGUUGUAAACCGCUUUCGCCUGUGACGAAGCGUGAGUGACGGUAAUGGGUAAAGAAGCACCGGCGAACUACGU